GCACAUUCCUCGCAUUCUAGGAUUGAGAUACACAGUUUGGUUCUUGUGGGGGCAGCCAGGGCGGGGGAGGAGGGCAGAGAACAUCCCAGAGAUCAAGACUGCUCUUCUUGCUCCCUCCCCGACUGACUUGGCCCACACUGACUGGCCUGCCACCCGUUUACAGUGAUCUCCACCCAGUCUCUCUCUGCAAAGACCUCCCUUGGCUCUCUGAUAAAGUUGGAGCUGUGGGUGCAGCAUUUCACUUGGACCUAGCAGCAUCAAUGAGCCAGCUCCUCACUGGGGAACAUGCAAAACCCCAGCUGCUGGUGUGCAGGAAAAGAAUCCAGGAGAUCACCUGAUGAAGCCCAGCAUUUUACAGAUAGGCAGUGGAGCAGGGGAAUCCAGUUGACACUGUGGCUAAAUUUCAGAAAACCUCCCAUGAGAUCUUGCAAAGGAGAUGGAGAAAAUAUGGCUGAAUGCCAGCAAGGUAGGACGGAAGCAUGACUGCUCUAACAACCAAGCUCAAAGAGCACUGCUCACCCAAUGUUUCCUUCAUGACUAGAGCAAAGUGGUGAAAGGACCCUGGUGAGAGGCCCAAAGAACAGGAGGUGUGAGCCAAGAGAAGGUCCUGCCAGGCCUAUGUUGCAGGCUAUUUGGAGGCUGAACUUGAGGUUGAGGCAGAAUUAACUGUUGCAUGAGAUGUGGGGUAUGAGAGAAGGCCUGAGUACCUAGAAGGAUUGGGGAUGCCAUGAACUGACAGAGGUUGUGUAAUAGUGUGAUAUAAUAAGAAAUACAUGGUGGGCAUGGUGGCUCAAGCCUGUAAUCCCAGCACCUUGGCCACCACUGCAGGACC
Molecule: long non-coding RNA, 832 nt
Filed under: Pan troglodytes (chimpanzee)
Lineage: Eukaryota; Metazoa; Chordata; Mammalia; Primates; Hominidae
Description: lincRNA
Source: RNAcentral